CUUCCUGCACUCACGCCCCCAGUGGAGCUCAAACAGGAAGUGACGCAAACCUAGAAGAUGGCGUCCACAAAGCCUACGAAUCGCUCAGGUUUGCUGCUAGCCGUCUGCUGUUGAGCCCGAACCGGGGCUCUGGAGCUCUGGGGCGGCGACACCAUGGCGGCGGCUCGCUGUAGUCGGAACUGACGGCGCCGCCGAAGCAAACACGGCUCGUGUGGAUUCUCAGCGCCGCCGAGGCUGGAAACGCAAAGACGGGAAAUGCCAGCGGCUGGUUGGAGCUCCGACAUGUGUGACCAACGCUGACUCGGAGGGUCUUUGUGGUUGGCAUCCGCUGGGCACACUGGGGCGCUGUCCUCUGAUUGGCUGGGACAACCCCUUCUGACAUGCCUGUGGCCAAUCAGAGGUGUGUUAUGUCGGGGGCGGAUGUGGAGGUGUAUCUUUCCCAGGUACACGACGGAAGUGUGUCGUCGGGCUUCCGGGCGCUGUACGAGGAGCGUCUGCUGCUGGACGUCACGUUGAUGAUCGACGAGCACCACUUCCAGGCCCACAAGGCGCUCCUGGCCACCCAGAGCGACUACUUCCGGGUCAUGUUCACGGCGGACAUGCGUGAGCGGGACCAGGACAAGAUCCACUUGAAGGGGCUGACGGCGGCGGGCUUCGGGCACAUCCUUCGCUUCAUGUACUACGGCUCGCUGGAGCUCAGCAUGCCCACCGUGCAGGAGAUCCUACAGGCGGCGAUGUACGUGCAGCUGACGGAGGCGGUGGAGUUCUGCUGCUCCUUCCUGCUGGCCAAGAUCUGCCUGGAGAACUGCGCCGAGGUCAUGCGGCUGCUGGAGGACUUCAGCGUGGGCGUGGAGGGUGUCCAAGAGCAGCUGGACAACUUCCUCCUCGACAACUUCGUGCCGCUCAUGAGCCGUGCCGACUUCCUGUCCUACCUCAGCCUGGAGAGACUGCAGGCGUACCUGAACAGCGACGCGCUGAGCCGCUACCCGGAGAUCGAGCUGUACGAAGCGGUCCAGGCGUGGCUCCGGCACGACCGCCGGCGCUGGCGCCACACGGACGCCGUCGUCCGCUCCGUUCGCUUCUGCCUCAUGACAUCUGCCAACAUCUUCGAGAAGGUGAAGACGUCGGAGUUCUACCGCUACUCCCGGCAGCUGCGUCAGGAGGUGGACCAGGCGCUGGCCUACUUCCACGACGUCAACCGGCAACCGCUGGCCGAGACGCGCGCCAACCGCAUCCGCUCGCGGCGCCCGCAGACGGCCGUCUUCCGCGGCAUGAUCGGCCACAGCAUGGUGAACAGCAAGAUCCUGCUGCUGCAGCGGCCCAAGGUGUGGUGGGAGCUGGAGGGCCCCCAGGUGCCGCUGAGACCCGACUGCCUGGCCAUCGUCAACGACUUCGCCUUCCUGCUGGGAGGCGAGGAGCUGGGGCCCGAUGGCGAGUUCCACGCCUCGUCCAAGGUUUACCGCUACGACCCCCGGCAAAACUCGUGGCUGCGCAUGGCCGACAUGUCCGUGCCCAGAUCUGAGUUCGCCGUCGGCGUCAUCGGAACGUUCAUCUACGCGGUGGCGGGUCGCACGCGUGACGAGACCUUCUACUCCACGGAGCGCUACGACAUCGCAGAAGACCGCUGGGAGUUCGUGGACCCGUAUCCCGUCAACAAGUACGGGCACGAGGGCACGGUCCUGGGCGGCAAGCUCUACAUCACGGGCGGCAUCACGUCCUCGUCCACCUCCAAGCAGGUGUGCGUCUUCGAUCCCGCGCGGGAAGCGACGGCGGGAGGGGCCUCGGGCGGGUCGGACUCCCUGCGGGCGCGCGGGGGCCGUGGCCCGCCGCCGCCCGCCUCCCACGCCGGCUGCUGGGACAACAAAUCCAAAAUGAACUACGCCCGCUGCUUCCACAAGAUGAUCUCUCACAACGGGAAGCUGUACGUGUUCGGGGGCGUGUGCGUCAUCCUGCGCGCCUCCUUCGAGUCGCAGGGCUGCCCGUCCACCGAGGUCUACGACCCGGACGCCGACGAGUGGACCAUCCUGGCCUCCAUGCCCAUCGGGCGCAGCGGGCACGGCGUGGCCGUGCUGGAGCGCCAGAUCAUGGUGCUGGGGGGCCUGUGCUACAACGGACACUACAGCGACUCCAUUCUCACCUUCGACCCCGACGACAACAAGUGGAAGGAGGACGAGUAUCCCAGGAUGCCUUGCAAGCUGGACGGGCUGCAGGUGUGCACGCUGCACUUCCCCGAGUACGUGCUGGAGCACGUCAGACGCUGCAGCUGAGGUGGCGCUGUGCGCCGCGGCUCCGGGGCUGCUGCCGACUGCCGCCGCCUGCGAGGGCGCAAAAGGGAGCGCACAGCCGGCCAUGAGCAUCGACGAGCUGCCGUCCCUGUACAGCAGACCCGAGGAGGAUCGCCGUCG
Molecule: RNA transcript, 2405 nt
Organism: Phyllopteryx taeniolatus (common seadragon)
Lineage: Eukaryota; Metazoa; Chordata; Actinopteri; Syngnathiformes; Syngnathidae
Gene: klhl15
Gene name: kelch-like family member 15
Exons: 12
Source: RefSeq, a predicted model, not a curated record